GCCAGGGCCAGCACCCUCCCACCAGAGGAGCAUCUGCCUUGACAACACCGAGGAGCCGAACCACAGGCUCCACUGGCUGCCCAGGUUGGACAGGAGGGUGACCAUCUGUGAGAGGAGAGGUCAGAGAGACAGGAACCAGGAGGCCACGACUGGAAAGUCCAGGCAGAAGAGAACUGCGGAGCCAGCCCAGGGAAGGACAGAAGUGGAAAAGUCACCACAGACAGGAACAAGCUUCCUGGCACACGACUUCCCUGCCAAACAACUCAACUGUAGUCAAAAGGAAAGAGAUUUGUCUAGUCCUAUACCAGGAUAAGGAGGAGAUUCCAAGGUGCUCCAAACUUUACUGAUUGUGCCCUUGUUCAGUUAAAAAAAAAAUCUUAAACAGGUCCAAUACAUGUAUUUGAUUUAUAAAUUAUAUACCUCUACUAUUGAAUGGAUACAGUAUGUCCAUUCUAAAGCACAUAAGAUGGAAAAUGUGAAGGAAUGAGACAGACCCAUGUAUCUUCUAAUAUUUUCUUCCUGCUCCCCAGGGAAGUGUUGUGUACCCCACCCAGCCCCUCCAGAGCCUGCCCAGCUAAGCGCCCUGGGCACUGAGCAGGGAAGCUGUGGGCAGAGCAUGCACUGAAACCUUAGGAGCCAUUGAGGAACCGCUGGAGGUUUUCUCACGUGCUCUUCC
RNAcentral lists this long non-coding RNA (676 nucleotides) under Homo sapiens (human). RNAcentral describes it as "HSALNT0184772". The record is from RNAcentral. Lineage: Eukaryota; Metazoa; Chordata; Mammalia; Primates; Hominidae.